RNAcentral lists this transfer RNA (80 nucleotides) under Micromonospora parathelypteridis. RNAcentral's name for it is "tRNA-Gly". Lineage: Bacteria; Bacillati; Actinomycetota; Actinomycetes; Micromonosporales; Micromonosporaceae. The record is from RNAcentral.
UCAGCCCGUCGCCGGUGGUCCUGCUGAACGCCGUCUGCCGUACGGCGAGUGACACCGCCUCGGCCGCGGUGGGUUGACCC